This 3808-nucleotide long non-coding RNA is filed under the name Ornithorhynchus anatinus (platypus). RNAcentral describes it as "lncRNA (ENSOANG00000046452.1)". Lineage: Eukaryota; Metazoa; Chordata; Mammalia; Monotremata; Ornithorhynchidae. The record is from RNAcentral.
AAAUAAAUUCCGGCUACUUACGUAAGCGCCGCGGGGCUGAGGGUGGGGUGAAUAUCGAGUGCUUAAAUGGUACGGAUCCAAGUGCAGGGAUGACGCGGAACAACGAUGAUAAAUAAUGGUGAUAUCCGCUAAGCGCGGAACGGUAUCAGAGAAGCGGUGUGGUUUAGCGGAAAGGGCCCGGGCUUGGGAGUCCGGGGUCGUGCGUUCGAAUCCCGGCGCUGUCACUUGUCCGCCGUGUGACCUCGAGCGAGUCGCUUCACUUCUCUGGGCUUCAGGGACCUCAUCUGGAAACGGGGAUGAAGACUGAGAGCCCCCUGGGGGGGCAACCCGAUCACCUUGUAGACCCCAGCGCUUAGAACGGUGCUUGGCACGUAGUAAGCGCUUAACCAAUACCGACAUUAUUAUUAUUCUUACUAAGCGCUGGGGUGGGAACAGGCAGAUCGGGUUGGACCCAGUCCCUGUCCCACGUGGGGCUCACGGUCUCAAUCCCCAUUUUGCAGGUGAGGGAGCUGAGGCCCGGAGAAGUGAUCUGCCCAAGGCCACGCAGCCGGGAGGUGGCACCACCAGGAUUAGAACCCGUAACCUUCCGACUCCCAGGCCUGGGCUCUACCCACUACAGCGUCCUGCUUCCCGUAGACGACGCAGAAGGGAGAGGGAGUCGGGGGGCAAAGAGGGCUUAAUCGGGGAAGGCCUCUUGGAGGAGACGUCGUCGGAGUGUUGGUUGUCAUCCGUUUCGAUGAGCGAACGGUUGGGCUCGUCGGCGCUGGGGUGAUCGGGUCGGACCCACUGGGGACUACAGAUCUCGAAGGUAGGGAAAAUAGACAUUUAUCGCGUGUUCGCUAUGUGCCAAGCGCUGGGGCAGACUGUAAGCCCGGCGAUGGGCAGGGGCGGUCUCUCUCUGUUGCCGAAUUGUCCAUUCCAAGCGCUUAGUCCAGUGCUCUGCCCAUCGGAAGCGCUCCAUAAAUACGAUUGAAUGAGUGAAUACAGGUGAUAAGACUGAGCCCGUCGUUGGGCCGGGAUUAUCUCUGUCUGUUGCCGAAUUGUCCAUUCCAAGCGCUUAGUCCAGUGCUCUGCACAUAGGAAGCGCUCAAUAAAUACGAUCGAAUGAAUGAAUACAGGAUAAUCCGGCUGGAUGCUGUCCCUGUCCGACCUAUUGCUGUUGUUUUGAUUUGUUUUAAUGAGAUGUCCAUCCCCUCGAUUCUAUUUAUUGCUGCUGUUCUUGUCAGUCCGUCUCCCCGAUUAGACCGCGAGCCCGUCAGUGGGCAGGGACCGUCUCUAUCUGUUGCCGAAUUGUCCAUUCCAAACGCUUAGUCCAGUGCUCUGCCCGUAGUAAGCGCUCAGUAAAUACUAUUGAAUGAACGAAUGUCUUGGGGCUCACCGUCUAAGCAGGGAGGGAGUCCCGGCUUCGAAUCCUCAUUUCACAGAUGCAGGAACUGAGGCCCAGAGAAGUGAAUAAUAAUCAAAUAAUAACGACGAUGGUAUUUGUUAAGCGCUUACUAUGUGCCAAGCACUUUUCUAAGGUCUGGGGGGAUAGGAGGUAAUCUGGUUGUCCCACCUGGGGUUCACAGCCUUGAUCCCCAUUUUACAGAUGAGGGAACCGAGGCCCAGAGAAGUGAAGUGACUUGUUCGGGGUCACUCAGCUGAGACUCCCAAGCCCGGGCUCUUUCCACUGAGCUUCGGGCUCACAUUUUUUAAUCCCCGUUAUCGCAGAUGAGGUCACUGAGGCCCAGAGAAGUGAAGUGAGUUGCCCCAGGUCAAAUGGUUGAACUCUGUGCUGCGGCCUUUUAUCCACAGAUGAUGGUGGAGAAUGGGAGACACGGAGGAGGAGCAGCGGAGGGAGGGAGGGAGAGACAAACGGUGACCGUUGCAGUCACGGAAAGAGGGACUGGAAAAUGAAGGAAAACGAAACCAACUGGGGGAGGCGAGGGCGGCUCAUUUUUAGGGGCAAAUUGGCAGAAAUCCCCAAGUCUCUGGCCCUCUACCAAAAAUAAGGACAUUUAAGAGAAGCAGCGUGGCUCAGUGGAAAGAGCCCGGGCCGGGGAGUCAGAGGUCAUGGAUUCGAAUCCCUGCUCUGCCACUUGUCAGCCGGGUGACUGUGGGCAAGUCACUUCACUUCUCUGGGCCUCAGUGACCUCAUCUGGAAAAUGGGGAUGAAGACCGUGAGCCCCACGUGGGACAACCCGAUGACCCCGUAUCUCCCCCAGCGUUUAGAGCAGUGCUCUGCACAUAGUAAGCGCUUAACAAAUACCAUCGUUAUUAUUUAAAGUCAAGGUUAUCGAUUACGCCCCAGGUCCGGUUAAUACCCUUAAUAAUAAUUAUAAUGAGCUCAUCGUGGGCAGGGAAUGUGUGUGUUUACCGUGGUAUUAUUGUUCUUUCCCAAGUGCUUUUGUACGGUGCCCUGCACACGGUAAGCGCUCAGUAAAUACGAGGGAAAGAAUGAAUUCAAGGUUUAAGGUAACUCGUCAGCCAAGACGGGCUCUUCCUGGGGCCCAGAUCUUCUCAUCUGUUAACAAUAAGAAGUUCUUACUGUGCGCUAAGCACCCUACUACUACUACUACUACUGAUAAGAAUGGUGAUAUCUGUUAAGCGUUUACUAUGUGCAAAGCACUGUUCUAAGCGCCGGAGGGGAUACGAGGUGAUCAGGUUGUCCCCCGUGGGGCUCCCGGUCUUCAUCCCCGUUUGACAGAUGAGGUCACUGAGCCCCAGAGAAGUGAAGCGACUCGCCCAAAGUCCCACAGCCCACAAGCGGCGGAGCCGGGAUUCGAACCCGUGACCUCUGACUCCCCAGCCCGGGAGUCAUUAUCCUCUGUCGUCCUCAGCGCGUAGACCGGUGAAGGAACUGAGGCCCAGGGAAGUGAAUAAUAAUAAAACAGUAAUUAAUAAGGAUGGUAUUUGUUCAGCGCUAUGGGUCACUGUGUGUUAGAACACGAGCAAGCGCGUGGCCAGCCCCGUCGUCGUGAUCGAUAUUAUUUAAACCGCAGCAUCGAAUCGCCGGGGCAGAUGGAAAACGAUGACCCGUGGGGGGGGGGGGGGGGGCUCGAUUUGUUCGUUUUUUUCCAUAAACGGAUAAGGAUAAUAAUUGUGCUAUUGAGUGCUUAGUGUGUGCCAGGAACUGUAAUGAUAAUAAUAAUUACGGUACUCGUUAAGCGCUUACUACGUGCAGAGCACCGUUCUAAGCGCUGCGGGAGAUACAGGGUCAUCAGCCUGUCCCACAUGGGGUUGACAUUUUUUAAACCCCAUUUUUACAGAUGAGAUCACUGAGGCCCAGAGAAGCGAAGUGACUCGCCCACCGUCGCACAGCGGCCAAGUGGCAGAGCCGGGAUUCGGACCCAUGACCUAGACCGUGAACCCCCGUGGGACAGCGGCUCAUAAGCGUGUGUCUACCCCGGGGCACAGAACAGUGCUAGUCCCAUAGUAAGCGCUCACCAAAGACCAUCCAAAUUAUCAGAGAAGCAGCGUGGCUCGGUGGAACCAGCCCGGGCUUGGGAGUCGGGGGUCGUGGGUUCUAAUCCCGCCUCCGCCGCCUGUCAGCUGGGUGACUUUGGGCGAGUCACGUCACUCCUCUGGGCCUCGGUUACCUCAUCUGGAAAAUGGGGAUGAAGACUGGGAGCCCCACGUGGGACAACCUGACCCUCUUGUAUCUACCCCAGCGCUUAGGACAGUGCCCGGCACAUAGUCGGCGCUUAACGGAUACCGUCGGCGUUAUUAUUAUUAGCCCUCUCCUUCCCCUCCCCAUCCCCCGCCCGCCCCCGGGUUUUUAUUUUUACGGUGUUGGUUGAGCACUUACUCUGUGCCAGGCUGGGACAGA